UACCCAGUGAGUGUGGGAAGUGAGUACAUGGGGAAGUGUCAGGGAGCAGAAACCGGAAGCUCCAGUUUGAGGUUUGUGCAUCAAUGAGAAGAUGAGACAAGAGACUGAGUUUCCUGGAAAAGCCACUCCCUUUUGAGUGUCAGGCCCAGAGAGUGUCAGCCACUCACUCCCUCUUUACAGGCCAGGAGCUGCUCUCCUGCUGGGCUGACCCCGUCCCACUGCCCUGCUGGAGUGGCCAGAUGUUCCUGUUCCCUGUCCUGUGGAGCUGGGUGAUCAUGGCUGUUGGGAGCACAGAUGCCGCCGCAAGCCUGGUGGAGCAACGCCCCCGAUGGGUCCUGGUACGUCGCGGACAGGCUGAAACCCUGCACUGCACCCUGAGGAAUUCCCAGUACCCCUGGAUGAGCUGGUACCAGCAGGAUUCUCAGGGCCAACUGCAGGUGCUGACCAGUCUGCGGAAUGUGGGCGAUAACGAGGCCACAUCCCUUCCUGGAGCAGAUUAUCAGGCCAAGCGGGUCAGUGACACUGAGCUGAGGCUGCUUGUGGCCAAUGUCACCCAGAGAAGAACCUUGUUCUGCACCUGCAGUGAAGACACAGUGAGACGCCCUCCUUGGAUCAGUGACUAAAAACCACCCCUGGCU
This is a non-coding RNA of Phacochoerus africanus (Common warthog), 638 nucleotides long. NCBI's taxonomy places the organism in Eukaryota, Metazoa, Chordata, Mammalia, Artiodactyla, Suidae. The record is from the annotation of a RefSeq genome assembly.